This 77-nucleotide transfer RNA is filed under the name Luminiphilus syltensis NOR5-1B. RNAcentral describes it as "tRNA-Arg". It matches the Rfam family "tRNA". Rfam says of the family: Transfer RNA (tRNA) molecules are approximately 80 nucleotides in length. Their secondary structure includes four short double-helical elements and three loops (D, anti-codon, and T loops). Further hydrogen bonds mediate the characteristic L-shaped molecular structure. tRNAs have two regions of fundamental functional importance: the anti-codon, which is responsible for specific mRNA codon recognition, and the 3' end, to which the tRNAs corresponding amino acid is attached (by aminoacyl-tRNA synthetases). tRNAs cope with the degeneracy of the genetic code in two manners: having more than one tRNA (with a specific anti-codon) for a particular amino acid; and 'wobble' base-pairing, i.e. permitting non-standard base-pairing at the 3rd anti-codon position. The record is from RNAcentral. Lineage: Bacteria; Pseudomonadati; Pseudomonadota; Gammaproteobacteria; Cellvibrionales; Halieaceae. RNAcentral also lists the same sequence under 4 other names.
GCGCCCGUAGCUCAGCUGGAUAGAGUACCUGACUACGAAUCAGGGGGUCGCACGUUCGAAUCGUGCCGGGCGCGCCA